This 962-nucleotide unclassified non-coding RNA is filed under the name uncultured fungus. RNAcentral's name for it is "sequence contains 18S rRNA gene, ITS1, 5.8S rRNA gene, ITS2, 28S rRNA gene". The record is from RNAcentral. Lineage: Eukaryota; Fungi.
AGAAGCUUCAUGAGGAGCAGCACCAGUGGUCUGACGCGUACGACACGCGCCAGCGACUGACGACACUGGCGUCAGGUGAGGCCGAACCGAAAGGGGAAGCCAUUCUGGCGUUUCUCGAGAACGAGAUCGGUCUCGAGGCCAUGCGGCGCAAGAACUAUGCGGAGGCGGCGCGCCGCUUUCAGGCGGCGAUCAGCCGCGACCCGCGAGCGGUGCCUGCGUAUCUCAACCUGGGGGACGUGCGCGUCGCCGAAGGCCACGAUGCCGCUGCGAUGGAGAUCUGGGAACACCUGGUGCAGGCCGCUCCCGAUCGGGCGUACCUGGCGUUCGAGCGGCUCGAAGCCCUGUCCGUGAAACUCGGGACGCCGGAGCGAUUCACGCGCCUGUGCCUGCGCCUCAUCGAGGAGAACCCGCAGGAUUGGCGGGCGCGGCUUGCGCUCUCGCGCCAUCUCACCGCGAGCAAUCAGGCACAGGAAGCGCUCGACCUGCUGUUUGCCGCGCUCGUGCAGAAUCCCCACGCACUCAGCAUUCACCAGGCCAUCUGGCGCGCCCUCAGUCAGCUGCGGCAUCCCGCGCCGCUCGUGGAUCGGUACCGCGAUCUCACCGAGCAUGCGGUGUUCUAUCUCGACCCUCACGUCUGCAUGCGCUGCCGGUAUCGCAGUACGGAACUGCUCUGGCAGUGCCCGCAUUGUCAUGACUGGAAUACGUUCGUGGAGGAGCGGAUCGCCCCCGCCCAGGACGCUACCGAGGUUGAAGCGUAGCGAGCGCGCGAUAGACCUCGUCGAUCUGCUGGUCGGUCUCGGCAAAGGUCCCAUCCGUCCGAAUGACCCAGUCAGCGCCCCUGGUCUUCUCCACCGCUGGCCACUGCGCGUCUAAACGCCGAUCGGCCUCUUCUUCGCUGAGGCCGCGUUCCAUCAGGCGCGCGCGCUGCGUCUCUUUCGCGCACAACGUCGCAAUCAUGCGAU